UAAGUGGAUGAUGCCAUGCUUCCAAGAAAAGUCCCUAAGCUUCAGGUUAGUGUUGACCGUACCCCAAACCGACACAGGUGGGUAGGAUGAGAAUUCCAAGGCGCUUGAGAGAACUCGGAUGAAGGAACUAGGCAAAAUGGUACCGUAACUUCGGGAGAAGGUACGCCCACGCAAGUGGGCCGCAGAGACCAGGCCGCUGCUACUGUUUAUCAAAAACACAGCACUCUGCAAACUCGAAAGAGGACGUAUAGGGUGUGACGCCUGCCCGGUGCCGGAAGGUUAAUUGAUGGGGUUAGCGCAAGCGAAGCUCUUGAUCGAAGCCCCGGUAAACGGCGGCCGUAACGAUAACGGUCCUAAGGUAGCGAAAUUCCUUGUCGGGUAAGUUCCGACCUGCACGAAUGGCGUAACGAUGGCGGCACUGUCUCCAUCCGAGACUCAGUGAAAUUGAAAUCGCUGUGAGGAUGCAGUGUACCCGCGGCUAGACGGAAAGACCCCGUGAACCUUUACUAUAGCUUUGUAUUGAACUUUGAACCUACUUGUGUAGGAUAGGUGGGAGACUAUGAAACUGGAACGCUAGUUCUGGUGGAGUCGUCCUUGAAAUACCACCCUGGUAUGUUCGGAGUUCUAACCCAGGCAUCACAAUGCCGGGGACAAUACAUGGUGGGUAGUUUGACUGGGGCGGUCUCCUCCUAAAGAGUAACGGAGGAGCGCGAAGGUGUGCUAAUCACGGUCGGAAAUCGUGAGGUUUGUGUAAAGGCAUAAGCACGCUUGACUGCGAGACAGACAAGUCGAGCAGGUACGAAAGUAGGUCUUAGUGAUCCGGUGGCUCUGAAUGGAAGGGCCAUCGCUCAACGGAUAAAAGGUACUCCGGGGAUAACAGGCUGAUUCCUCCCAAGAGUCCAUAUCGACGGGGGAGUUUGGCACCUCGAUGUCGGCUCAUCACAUCCUGGGGCUGAAGCAGGUCCCAAGGGUAUGGCUGUUCGCCAUUUAAAGUGGUACGCGAGCUGGGUUCAGAACGUCGUGAGACAGUUCGGUUCCUAUCUGCCGUGGGCGUUGGAGAUUUGAGGGAAGCUGACCUUAGUACGAGAGGACCGGGUUGGACGAACCUCUGGUGUUCCUGUUGUCACGCCAGUGGCAUUGCAGGGUAGCUAUGUUCGGACGGGAUAACCGCUGAAAGCAUCUAAGCGGGAAGCCCCUCCCAAGAUGAGAUCUCCCUGACCCCUUGAGGGUCCUAAAGGGCCGUUGGAGACUACGACGUUGAUAGGCUGGGUGUGGAAGUGCAGUAAUGUAUGUAGCUAACCAGUACUAAUUGCCCGUGAGGCUUGAUUC
This 1329-nucleotide ribosomal RNA is filed under the name metagenome. RNAcentral's name for it is "bacterial LSU rRNA". It matches the Rfam family "Bacterial large subunit ribosomal RNA", at positions 1587 to 2925 of the family's 2925-position model. The record is from RNAcentral.